UACAGAGGUGGCAAGCGUUGUUCGGAAUUACUGGGCGUAAAGGGCGCGUAGGCGGCCUUCUAAGUCAGACGUGAAAUCCCCCGGCUUAACCUGGGAACUGCGUCUGAUACUGGAGGGCUUGAGUGCGGGAGAGGGAUGCGGAAUUCCAGGUGUAGCGGUGAAAUGCGUAGAUAUCUGGAGGAACACCGGUGGCGAAGGCGGCAUCCUGGACCAAUAUUGACGCUGAGGAGCGAAAGCCAGGGGAGCAAACGGG
This 253-nucleotide ribosomal RNA is filed under the name uncultured bacterium. Its description in RNAcentral is "partial 16S ribosomal RNA". It matches the Rfam family "Bacterial small subunit ribosomal RNA", at positions 524 to 776 of the family's 1533-position model. The record is from RNAcentral.